GGACCAAGGAGUCUAGCAUGUGCGCGAGUCAUUGGGAUUUUUACUAAACCUAAAGGCGCAAUGAAAGUGAAGGUCCGCCUUGCGCGGACCGAGGGAGGAUGGAACGUACCGAGGUGCGGUCUCGCACUCCCGGGGCGUCUCGUUCUCAUCGCGAGAAGAGGCGCACCCAGAGCGUACACGCUGGGACCCGAAAGAUGGUGAACUAUGCCUGGUCAGGACGAAGUCAGGGGAAACCCUGAUGGAGGUCCGUAGCGAUUCUGACGUGCAAAUCGAUCGUCGGAACUGGGUAUAGGGGCGAAAGACUAAUCGAACCAUCUAGUAGCUGGUUCCCUCCGAAGUUUCCCUCAGGAUAGCUGGCGCUCGCUUCUCGCGAGUCUCAUUCGGUAAAGCGAAUGAUUAGAGGCAUUGGGGUCGAAACGGCCUCAACCUAUUCUCAAACUUUAAAUGGGUGAGAUCUCCGGCUUGCUUGAACUGUGAAGCCGCGAGAUAUCGGAUCAGAGUGCCAAGUGGGCCACUUUUGGUAAGCAGAACUGGCGCUGUGGGAUGAACCAAACGCAGAGUUAAAGCGCCUAAAUCGACGCUUAUGGGAUACCAUGAAAGGCGUUGGUAACUUAAGACAGCAGGACGGUGGCCAUGGAAGUCGGA
This 645-nucleotide ribosomal RNA is filed under the name Neoserica sp. 835133. RNAcentral describes it as "eukaryotic LSU rRNA". It matches the Rfam family "Eukaryotic large subunit ribosomal RNA", at positions 663 to 1265 of the family's 3401-position model. The record is from RNAcentral. Lineage: Eukaryota; Metazoa; Arthropoda; Insecta; Coleoptera; Scarabaeidae.